GAUGAACGCUGGCGGCGUGCCUAAUACAUGCAAGUCGAGCGAACGGACGAUAAGCUUGCUUCUCUGAUGUUAGCGGCGGACGGGUGAGUAACACGUGGAUAACCUACCUAUAAGACUGGGAUAACUUCGGGAAACCGGAGCUAAUACCGGAUGAUAUUUUGAACCGCAUGGUUCAAAAGUUAAAGACGGUCUUGCUGUCUCUUAUAGAUGGAUCCGCGCUGCAUUAGCUAGUUGGUAAGGUAACGGCUUACCAAGGCAACGAUGCAUAGCCGACCUGAGAGGGUGAUCGGCCACACUGGAACUGAGACACGGUCCAGACUCCUACGGGAGGCAGCAGUAGGGAAUCUUCCGCAAUGGGCGAAAGCCUGACGGAGCAACGCCGCGUGAGUGAUGAAGGUCUUCGGAUCGUAAAACUCUGUUAUUAGGGAAGAACAUAUGUGUAAGUAACUGUGCACAUCUUGACGGUACCUAAUCAGAAAGCCACGGCUAACUACGUG
RNAcentral lists this ribosomal RNA (497 nucleotides) under uncultured bacterium. RNAcentral describes it as "partial 16S ribosomal RNA". It matches the Rfam family "Bacterial small subunit ribosomal RNA", at positions 28 to 507 of the family's 1533-position model. The record is from RNAcentral.